RNAcentral lists this long non-coding RNA (416 nucleotides) under Mytilus galloprovincialis (Mediterranean mussel). Lineage: Eukaryota; Metazoa; Mollusca; Bivalvia; Mytilida; Mytilidae. The record is from RNAcentral.
UGUACCUAUUUAAAAUCUUUUACUCCUAUAACUACAAACUAGUCAGUCUGACAAAGGAAACUUUGUACCUAUUUAAGAUCUUUUACUCCUUUAACUACAAACUAUUCAGUCUGACAAAAAAAUCAGACUAGAAUUAAGACAAUCAUCUCUGAUCGUAUAAUUUGGUAGGAAAUUUUUUUUAUGCCCCACCUACGAUAGUAGAGGGGAAUUAUGUUUUCUGGUCUGUACGUCCGUCCGUCAGUCCGUCCGUUCGUCCAACUUCAGGUUAAAGUUUUUGAUGAAGUUGAAGUCCAAUCAACUUGAAACUUAGUACACAUGUUCCUUAUGAUAUGAUCUUUCUAAUUUUAAUGCCAAAUAAGAGUUUUGACCCCAAUUUCACGGUCCACUGAACAUAGAAAAUGAUAGAACGAGUGGGG